GGGGACUAAUGCUUGCCUUGAAAUGACGAAUGCCUAGUUAGCAUAUAAUCGAACCGGAAUGAUAAUGAAUGAGAUUGAACUCAGAAAAUAAGAGUGGAUAUAAAGGUGGUGAAAACAGAACUGAAACUUAAGAAAGGGUAUCACAGAGCGAUGAACAAACUGAAAAUCAGGAGUUCCAGUGUCCAACACUUCUUCAGAGAAAAUACUUGAGAAAACUGGUUUCUAAAGUCUUUCUAGCUUAAAAAUAGCAGAGUAGCGAAACUGAAUUAAUUUUCAGAGCCUUUCCACUAUAAUUACCACCCAUUUCUUCGUGUUCCGCUAUCAACAGUUUUCAUGCAGGUAUUUAU
Molecule: unclassified non-coding RNA, 347 nt
Filed under: Hevea brasiliensis (rubber tree)
Lineage: Eukaryota; Viridiplantae; Streptophyta; Magnoliopsida; Malpighiales; Euphorbiaceae
Source: RNAcentral